Molecule: ribosomal RNA, 608 nt
Filed under: uncultured bacterium
Lineage: Bacteria
Description: bacterial SSU rRNA
Rfam family: Bacterial small subunit ribosomal RNA
Source: RNAcentral
AUGCAAGUCGAGCGGAAACGAAGAGGUGCUUGCACCUCUGGCGUCGAGCGGCGGACGGGUGAGUAAUGCUUGGGAAUAUGCCUUAUGGUGGGGGACAACAGUUGGAAACGACUGCUAAUACCGCAUGAUGUCUACGGACCAAAGUGGGGGACCUUCGGGCCUCACGCCAUAAGAUUAGCCCGAGUGGGAUUAGCUAGUUGGUGAGGUAAUGGCUCACCAAGGCGACGAUCCCUAGCUGGUUUGAGAGGAUGAUCAGCCACACUGGGACUGAGACACGGCCCAGACUCCUACGGGAGGCAGCAGUGGGGAAUAUUGCACAAUGGGCGCAAGCCUGAUGCAGCCAUGCCGCGUGUGUGAAGAAGGCCUUCGGGUUGUAAAGCACUUUCAGUAAGGAGGAAAGGUUAAGUGUUAAUAGCACUUAGCUGUGACGUUACUUACAGAAGAAGCACCGGCUAACUCCGUGCCAGCAGCCGCGGUAAUACGGAGGGUGCGAGCGUUAAUCGGAAUUACUGGGCGUAAAGCGUACGCAGGCGGUUUGUUAAGCGAGAUGUGAAAGCCCCGGGCUCAACCUGGGAACUGCAUUUCGAACUGGCAAACUAAAGUGUGAU